RNAcentral lists this ribosomal RNA (357 nucleotides) under Triticum aestivum (bread wheat). Its description in RNAcentral is "partial small subunit ribosomal RNA". Lineage: Eukaryota; Viridiplantae; Streptophyta; Magnoliopsida; Poales; Poaceae. The record is from RNAcentral.
AUGUCCGGAUCCAACCUUCAAGGUCGGUGGAUGGCCUCCUCUGUCACAGAGGAGGACAUUGUGAAGCUCAGGGAGGCCAGAUAUUUGACCGUGGAUGUCAAGCACAGGCUACCCGCCCCUGAGCAGAUCAUCCCCACUCCCGAACCCAACGAGAGUGUCGUAUUUGUUUCUCACUUCCUCCGAGGCUUGGGAUUGACUCUUGAUCCCUUUGUGAGAGGGCUCAUGUUCUACUACGGGCUAGAUUUUCACAAUCUAGCUCCGGAUUCCAUCCUCCACAUCUUGUCGUUUAUCGUCGUGUGUGAACCUUCCUCCAUAUCACCCCACCCUUCAGACUAUGGCUCAAGACCUUCAAUGUGA